CUUGCUCAGGGUCAUACUGCAGGUUCAAUGUUUAUCAACCCUCUGCUACUGCCCAGUUGCUAUGCCAGGGUCUCUGGCCAACACAGCAGAUAGAAUCUCUGAUGUGCAGAGUUCAUGGUCAGGGUAGAGGUGGGGGUGGGACAACCUGCAAACAGGUCUAUGAGGAAUAUUAAGCAGGGACAUGCCAUAUGGUAUGCCUGAGCUCGGUACACGUUGAAUGAAUGACUGCGUCCCCAGUUGUACAUCAGAUGUUGCUUUAGCCCGGGCUGGUCAGAAAAGGGUGCACUGAGGUGACAUCUCAGCUGAGAUCCAAAAGGUAAGAUGAUUCUGGCCAUGGCAGGGGCUAGGGGAAGAGCAAUCCAACUGAAGGGAACAACAGAGUGGAGGGGUCCCUGCCUUUUACAUCCUACCCUCAGCCACCAGAACUGAAGCCAGGCCAGGAAGACCCAAGAAGCAUAACCACAUGGAGAAGAGCCAUACUGCUGUCCCAAGAGCAAGAACAUGCAGUUUAGCCUGCAGAAGGCAAGUGGUGCUUCCCUUGAUGCUCUGAGGUCAAGCUUUUCCUGGAGAUAGAAGAAACAGCAUGGAAUGGAUGCUACAAUGAGACUGUAGGAAAACUUUGUAAUGAAGACAUACAGCAUGUGAGCUCUUCUUCCUGAGAGAUAGAAAUCAGGGACCAGCACCAUACUGAGACUUUGCCAAGAGGAUUAAAUAAUAGUUCAUGUGGUGGUGCAUGUCUGUUAUCCCAGCACUCAGGAGGCUGAGGCAAUAAGAUCGCUGUGAGUUCAAGGCCAACCUGAGCUACAUAGUGAGUUCAAGGACAGCAUGGACUCCAUAGGGAGACCCAGACUCAACAAAACAAAACAAGAGUGCACAGUGCCUGGCAGAGAGCAGGCAGCUAAUACAAUGUGGCUGCACUGGUUAAUGGGAAAGACCUGCUCAGCAGUAUCCAGCUCUCCCAAUCUCCUCCUGUCUUAGUCCAUGUUUUGGAGCCAGGGGGCCAGAAUUGGCACCACUGUGCAAAUGAAGGUGUCUGCAGGACCUCGUUCUCUCCUGAGGCUUUCCAGGAAGACCUGCCCUGUGCCUUUCCCACUUCUGUGGCUGCAGCUUCCUUGGCUCAUGGUGAACCCUUCUACACUUCAAGGCCAGCACCUACAUCUCUCUGCUCCAACUCCAUGUCGUUUCCUUCUUGAUAGGUGUGUCACAUUCCCCCCACCUCCCCUAUAUGUGCCCCUGUCCUUAUAGAGGACACAUGUGGCUGCAGAUGGAGUCAUCUGGAUCUGCUGAGAUCAUCUCUGCAUCUCCACAUCCUGAUCACACCUGCAAAGACUCACCCUACCUCUUGCCAUGUAAGAGAAACUUCUCAGGUACCAGGGUUGGGAUGACAAGAUGUUCUGGAGACCAUUACUCAGAGUGUCUGAGGUAGGCAGCAUAGGACUGUCAAGGUAGACUCCUGGAAGAGGUAAUGUGUGCCCUGGCAGGCCACUGCCCAGCACCUGACACACGGUAGUGCUCACAGGUGGCAGUUUGUUGCUCAACAGGUAAAUGAGUGCACAGGCUACAGAUUGAUCUCUCUGUGGCUGCCACAGCUAGUAACCCGGUUGUGCUGACAUCUCCAACAGCAGGGGACAGACAGUGAAGACUGCCAGAGGUGGCGUGGGCACUAAGGAGCUACUCAGUGUUCUGCCCCAAGAGCCCUCUCCAGCUCUGGCUCCCCUCCAUGGCUCCUUAGUGUGGUGACCCAGGCACUGAGGCCCUAGUGUGUGGGCGCUGCCCAGACCAGGAGCAACUGAGCAGGCAAGGAGGCAACUCCCAGACGCUGCUUACCCACAAAGCAGAC
Heterocephalus glaber (naked mole-rat) is the source of this 1840-nucleotide long non-coding RNA. The record is from Ensembl. Lineage: Eukaryota; Metazoa; Chordata; Mammalia; Rodentia; Bathyergidae.